This 421-nucleotide ribosomal RNA is filed under the name uncultured Proteiniphilum sp. RNAcentral's name for it is "bacterial SSU rRNA". It matches the Rfam family "Bacterial small subunit ribosomal RNA", at positions 356 to 774 of the family's 1533-position model. The record is from RNAcentral. Lineage: Bacteria; Pseudomonadati; Bacteroidota; Bacteroidia; Bacteroidales; Dysgonomonadaceae.
GAGGAAUAUUGGUCAAUGGGCGAGAGCCUGAACCAGCCAAGUCGCGUGAAGGAAGACUGCCUUAUGGGUUGUAAACUUCUUUUAUACGGGAAUAAAGUGCCCCACGCGUGGGGUUUUGCAAGUACCGUACGAAUAAGGAUCGGCUAACUCCGUGCCAGCAGCCGCGGUAAUACGGAGGAUCCGAGCGUUAUCCGGAUUUAUUGGGUUUAAAGGGUGCUCGGGCGGGGGAUUAAGUCGGCGGUGAAAUUUUGCAGCUCAACUGUAAAAGUGCCUUCGAAACUGGUUGCCUUGAGUGCGGAUGGGGUAGGCGGAAUUUGUGGUGGAGCGGAGAAAUGCAUAGAUAUCACGAGGAACUACGAUUGCGCAGGCAGCUUACCAAGCCGUAACUGACGCUCAAGCACGAAGGCGUGGGGAUCAAACA